AGCUUUAAUUUGCUUAUAUUUGCUUAUAUUUGCUUAUUAAUUGAAUUGUUUAUUUCAGUCUCCUAUUUUAAAUUAGUAAAUUGAAUGUAAAUUAUUUGUUUACUAAACUGAUUGAUUAAAAAAGAUACUUUCAAAUUGGCGCUCAUCUUAAGCGCCAUUUCACACAUGUUUGUUAACAUGUGUUAAAAUCGGGUUACAAUGGUUUUACAAUUUUGGGUUUAUUGUCUCGUCAAUCAAAGGAUGAUUGUGACAACCAUGGGAAACUACAGCUGAAGCAAGGUCAAUUUACGGUCAUCAGGAGGAUAGCUCAUUGUUGAUGGAUGAGUUUAACGAUGAACAUAGGUCACGGGAAUUUAUGAUUGUUGAAAUGGUUAACUUGGUCUCACAAGCAGGAUUACAAUUUAAAUAAUAUCAUAAAAACAAAUCAUCAAAUUCUCAUCAAGUUCACAAUCAGAUUUGUAAAUGUGUGUGGAUAUAUGUUUGUGUUUAUUCAUCAAUCUUAUCUGGACACAAAAUCAACCUGAUUUUGAAACAACUUGAGGCCAACUAUUCGCUGGACAAAUAAUCGCAGAAACAGAUAGCUGGUGUUGCUAAUCAUUAUAAAUGAUUAUGAUUAUUAUACAAUGAGUAACAUUUACUACGAGUAAAUUAAAUUAAAUCAACAUCAACAUCAUCAUCAUGACCACCAGGAGCAGAAAUAAUAACUACAAUCACUACCAUCAAAAUUUACUUUAGGUGUUAGCAAAAUUUAGUCCUGUAAUGAGUUAAUUUCACUUUCUUUACAUUUUAACCUAAAUGUCUCUAUUCAUUUUCACACCUAAUCCAUCAUCUGACUUUAACUACACAAUCGACAAUUAAAUUUUCACACUAAUGUAUCACAGUUUUGGACUAAAAUGGUUAAUCAAUUGUAUUCAUACGAUUAUUUUCUGGGAAAGUGAAAAAUUUGUUGUGUAAAAGGAAGCAAAUUGAUUUUACCUCAAACUGUACAUUGAUUGUUGCAAAUUUGGAUUAAUCAGUCCUUUUGGAGAUGAAUUUAAAUUGUAAUCAACUUAACAAAUCACAUUUUUUACAUGCAAACCCAUCGGCGAUUACAUUUUUAAUAUACACAUUAAAUGGUCACUUUUGCCAGCUGUCUACUCACCGAGCUAUCGGUUUGUUUAUAAAUACAAUCUUGGAA
This is a long non-coding RNA of Tetranychus urticae (two-spotted spider mite), 1177 nucleotides long. RefSeq lists it as uncharacterized. Lineage: Eukaryota; Metazoa; Arthropoda; Arachnida; Trombidiformes; Tetranychidae. The record is from RefSeq and is a predicted model, not a curated record.